UACGGAGGGUGCAAGCGUUAUCCGGAUUCACUGGGGUUAAAGGGUGCGUAGGAGGGCAGGUAAGUCAGUGGUGAAAUCCCCGAGCUUAACUUGGGAACUGCCGUUGAUACUAUCUGUCUUGAAUAUUGUGGAGGUAAGCGGAAUAUGUCAUGUAGCGGUGAAAUGCUUAGAUAUGACAUAGAACACCAAUUGCGAAGGCAGCUUGCUACACAACUAUUGACUCUGAUGCACGAAAGCGUGGGGAUCAAACAGG
This 253-nucleotide ribosomal RNA is filed under the name uncultured bacterium. RNAcentral describes it as "partial 16S ribosomal RNA". It matches the Rfam family "Bacterial small subunit ribosomal RNA", at positions 524 to 776 of the family's 1533-position model. The record is from RNAcentral.